AGAAAGAAAAACAUGAACUUCUAAAAGUGUCGAUUAUUGGUGCCAUUACGUUACAUAUAGAAGGCUGGACAUCGAUAUAUCCACACAUUUUCGUUUUGCCGCUUGUAGCGGCAUACUAGAAUAUAUAUAAGCAUAUUAGAAUCUCCUGUGGGAAAUGCCUCAUUCAACAAAAAGAUGUCCAUGGGUUUUUCCUCAUCACUUCCCAUCACAUGAACCUCUUGCUUUUGAUUGUUUGCCCCCUCUUGUAUAUAUAAAAAAAACUUGUUUGAGUUUAUAUUUGCCAA
This is a long non-coding RNA of Leptidea sinapis, 284 nucleotides long. RefSeq lists it as uncharacterized. NCBI's taxonomy places the organism in Eukaryota, Metazoa, Arthropoda, Insecta, Lepidoptera, Pieridae. The transcript is spliced from 3 exons. The record is from RefSeq and is a predicted model, not a curated record.